Long non-coding RNA from Orcinus orca (killer whale), 309 nucleotides. RefSeq lists it as uncharacterized. The transcript has 2 exons. Lineage: Eukaryota; Metazoa; Chordata; Mammalia; Artiodactyla; Delphinidae. The record is from RefSeq and is a predicted model, not a curated record.
CCUCCCUCCCUGCCUCCACCCUUGCCUACGUGUCAGUUUCAUGUCUCUGCAUGCACAGAAGCUGGAAGAAGAUGAGUCUUGGAAUUGGGGCAUUAGCUUUUGAACCAUGGAAAGAAGGUCACAGGCUGAUAAACCAGAGACAAAUGGACCCAAUUACCAGGCUGCCUGAUGCCAACUAUGACUGUUUUGAAAUAAUGCAAGGACAAAAAGAAUGCAAGACCUUCACUACUUUGAUCCUUAUCAUAUACCCUGGACUGCAAGCCCCGCAUAUAAAAUCUUCUCUAAUUCCCUGAAUGGUGGGGGGGGGGG